Molecule: non-coding RNA, 2008 nt
Organism: Parasteatoda tepidariorum (common house spider)
Lineage: Eukaryota; Metazoa; Arthropoda; Arachnida; Araneae; Theridiidae
Source: RefSeq, a predicted model, not a curated record
UUUUUACUUCCCUAAAUGUAAGUGCUUAUAUUACUUUCAAUUUUGACUUACACGUAUCAAAACUUUACUCGUAGCCCAAAAAAUAUUGCUAGUGAAAUCUUUAUUUUAUUUCUCCAAUGUUGGCAGGUUCGCAAAUAGAAUCUCCCAAACUGGCUGUAAAAUUUAUAGACUUACCAUCAAGCUUAAAAUUUUUAUUACAUGUCUUACUCACUGUUCAUAUCUUUUUUCUUUUUUUUGUUGUCCAUUUUGUAAAAUUCUAUUUUAGACAGGAAGAAUUUAUAUUCGAAAUCUCUGCUAUACUAUACUGUAACAAAAGCUGAUAUCGAACCUUUUUGUAAAAUAUGGUCCAAUUGCUGAGCUUCAUAUGCCAAUUGAUUUCAAUACAAGAAAGUCUAAAGGUUUUGCUUUUGUGACAUUUAUGUUUACCGAACAUGCAGUGAAGACCUUCUCAGAGUUGGAUGGUACAAUAUUUCAUGGUUGACUCCUUCACUUAAUACCCACCAGAGCGAAAAAAGAAUUUGAAUCCAAUGAAAGUGGAUAGAAGCAGGGGAUGGUUUGAAAUAUUGAAGGGUCUGCAACACAGAAUUGCUAUGGCAUUUACAUCACGAAUCUUCUUUUUGGAAUGCUCUUAUACCUUUUAUAAGAAGAUGACCAGCUUCACUUCAAACACUCAAAAGAGGUACAAAAUUGAGCAGUGAAGAAGUAGAUUUAUGUCAUCCCUCACCGUUUUCCCCAUUUUGGAGAUGAUUUCCUUUCUUGUGGAUUAUCAGUGCAGCAUUUAUUGGAUAGUAUCAUCCAAUUUUUGAGUGGAGUGUUUUCACAUUGUAAUUUUGUCUUCAAGCAAGGAAAGUUCCAGACAAUUUUAUUUCCCAUCUAAAGAAAUCUAUUUUUCACAUCCAAACUAAUUAUCCAAAUAAUCCAAGUAAAUUUCUAUGUUUAAAUUCCCAUUUAACUUUUAUUUUAUGUAUAAAUAGAAAGCGAAAUUUUAUUAGAAUUACUAUCUGAUUAGUUGAAGCUAUUUUAAGAUGAAUUUUUUUUUUCUUUAAAUAAAUUUUAGCUUAAACUAGAAAUUUGUGCAUGUUAAUAUAAGUAUCAAUUUAAGUUCUUAUCAUUUCUUUAAAUCAUCUCAAUAUUUUUUUGUAUGAUGUUAGAAAAGAUAUAAAUUCACCAAUUAUUACUAUCAUUCUCAUUGUUUAACAAAUCUUUUAACAUUGCUUGCCUUUAUUUGUUAAAAUUAACUGAAAUUUAUUUAUUUUAGUGUUUGAAAAGUUAUUGCUUAAAUUAAAAUUUAGUUAAAUAUGAUAGUUUGUUACGUUUUUACUUCAAAAAAUCUCAUUUGUGUUUAUGGAGAACAGUUGCUCUAUGUAGUUAUUAAAUUGUUCUUUUUAUUAUACAGUUAUUAAUUGAUGAAUAACAUCCCUGUGUUUUAUUCAAAUUCUUCUUUUUAUAUUUUAUAAGCAGUAUAGACAGGUAAAUUGCAAUUUAUUUUGGAAUAUCUUUUUAUGUGUUUUACUCUAAUCAUGUCUUUUCAUAGAAUCUCAUUUUAUUUUUUAAGAAAGAUUGUAUUUUAGUAGAUUGAAAUGCGAUUUUAGUAACUAUUUUGAUUUUGUUUAUUCUCUGAAUUCAACUUGUUUGUAUAUCUUUGUAUUUACAUAUUUUUGUUAACCGUUUUUCGAAUGUGUUAUGUUUGCCGUUAGUAUUUAUUUUUAAUCUUAUUCAAAUUUGUUAUAGUAGACUAGUCAAUUACUAGUCAUGAAAAAGUUAUUGAAGUUGUAUGCGUUAUAAUUAGGGUUGCAAGUUUGUCAGGGAGUGAAUUUUCAUGCUUAUUUCCAUGAUUUAUUACUCUUUAAUCCAGAAAUUUUUUGAAGUGCUGUGAUUUGUGCAAAAAUUGUUUAAACAGAGAAGUUUUUUCACCUUAUUCUAAUUCAACUACACUAAUUCUGACAAAAAUUACUACUACUCUGCAGCUUUAAAAUUGAUAAUUUUUUAUUGAUGAAAUGUUUAAGAA